AUUGAACGCUGGCGGCAGGCCUAACACAUGCAAGUCGAGCGGAUGAAGGGAGCUUGCUCCUGGAUUCAGCGGCGGACGGGUGAGUAAUGCCUAGGAAUCUGCCUGGUAGUGGGGGAUAACGUCCGGAAACGGGCGCUAAUACCGCAUACGUCCUGAGGGGGAAAGUGGGGGAUCUUCGGACCUCACGCUAUCAGAUGAGCCUAGGUCGGAUUAGCUAGUUGGUGGGGUAAAGGCCUACCAAGGCGACGAUCCGUAACUGGUCUGAGAGGAUGAUCAGUCACACUGGAACUGAGACACGGUACAGACUCCUACGGGAGGCAGCAGUGGGGAAUAUUGGACAAUGGGCGAAAGCCUGAUACAGCCAUGCCGCGUGUGUGAAGAAGGUCUUCGGAUGGUAAAGCACUUUAAGUUGGGAGGAAGGGCAGUAAGUUAAUACCUUGCUGUUUUGACGUUACCAACAGAAUAAGCACCGGCUAACUUCGUG
RNAcentral lists this ribosomal RNA (484 nucleotides) under uncultured bacterium. Its description in RNAcentral is "partial 16S ribosomal RNA". It matches the Rfam family "Bacterial small subunit ribosomal RNA", at positions 30 to 507 of the family's 1533-position model. The record is from RNAcentral.